This 76-nucleotide transfer RNA is filed under the name Oceanimonas doudoroffii. RNAcentral's name for it is "tRNA-Asn". It matches the Rfam family "tRNA". From Rfam's summary of the family: Transfer RNA (tRNA) molecules are approximately 80 nucleotides in length. Their secondary structure includes four short double-helical elements and three loops (D, anti-codon, and T loops). Further hydrogen bonds mediate the characteristic L-shaped molecular structure. tRNAs have two regions of fundamental functional importance: the anti-codon, which is responsible for specific mRNA codon recognition, and the 3' end, to which the tRNAs corresponding amino acid is attached (by aminoacyl-tRNA synthetases). tRNAs cope with the degeneracy of the genetic code in two manners: having more than one tRNA (with a specific anti-codon) for a particular amino acid; and 'wobble' base-pairing, i.e. permitting non-standard base-pairing at the 3rd anti-codon position. RNAcentral also lists the same sequence under 6 other names. Lineage: Bacteria; Pseudomonadati; Pseudomonadota; Gammaproteobacteria; Aeromonadales; Aeromonadaceae. The record is from RNAcentral.
UCCCCCUUAGUUCAGUCGGUAGAACGGCGGACUGUUAAUCCGUAUGUCGCUGGUUCGAGUCCAGCAGGGGGAGCCA